This is an RNA transcript of Patella vulgata (common limpet), 1994 nucleotides long. RefSeq lists it as uncharacterized. Lineage: Eukaryota; Metazoa; Mollusca; Gastropoda; Patellidae. The transcript has 5 exons. The record is from RefSeq and is a predicted model, not a curated record.
CACCAUGGCCUAAAAUACUAACGUCUCUUCCAUUUUGGGCCAUUGUCGUGGCUCAUAUAAGCUACACAUGGGUAGCAUCAUGGGUGCCAGCCUAUCUACCAAAGUAUUUACAUAACAUUCUUAAAUUUAAUAUUGAAGAGGAUGGAAUCGUCUCAUCCAUACCAUAUGUUGGGCGUCUAGUAUCGGGCCCUGUGUGUGGCUACAUAUCGGAUUGGUUACAAAAGAAACGGUAUUUUACAACUGGAACUGUCCGGAAAAUCUUUCAGUCAAUCGGUUGUGUGGGAUGUGCUGGCUGUAUGAUUGGUAUCAGUUUUUUAGAUCACAACAACCGAAUCCUGGCCGUGUGUUUAUUGAUAAUGGGGUUAACCUUCCAGAAUUUUUCCUCCGUCGCUUUCCGUAUAAACCAUCUAGAUAUAGCUCCUAGGUAUGCUGGUGUAUUGAUGGGUGUAACGACAACGGUAGCAAUGUCUGCAGGUCUCUCGGCUCCUUUUAUAACAUCAGCUUUAAUAGAAGAGGGCACUGCUGAAGAAUGGAAGGGGGUAUUUUGGAUUGUAGCCGCACUGAACGUUGUUGGGGCAAUAAUCUUCGCAAUAUUUGCACAAGGGGAAAUCCAGCCGUGGGCCAUAGAGGUUAAUGAUAACGUCAUCGAACCACUAAUCGACGAAUCGGGUGAAAAGGAACUAGAUGAUAAUUCGGACUAACCAAAUUAUACUGACGUAGUUUCGGGUAAUGGUGUCGUGAAUCGGACAUAUAAUUUAAAAGAUGGAGACAAUUUGUCGGUAGGCAGGCGAAGUGACGUAUCGUCAGUUGUUUUCGAUUUAAAGGGUUCUAGGUUUUUCUGAUGUUGCAGAAUUCAAAUUUGACAAAUGUCUGCUUUCAUGAAAAAUUUGACAUCACCUCUGCGCAGUAUCUUUAUUUAACCGAUAAUAAUGGCUAUAAAGUUAGUAAGUUAUGAUCAUCUAUUUCAAUUAUGUGACCCAUAUGAAUAACUUCUUUUCGAGAGCGCAUGAAAUAUUGACUGUAAAUUUAUAGUAUUUUAUUUGAUAUCUCUGCUAAAAACAAGCAUUAUGAUGAGCAACACAAAAAUCAUGAUAUUGUUGAUAAUAGGUCACCAAUGGUUGACUGAAGCAGUACAGGCGAAAUACUCAAACAUGUGUGUGUAAGGUGAUAUCGCCGACUAUUACAUAUUUAUCACCCAAUAAUACAUUCUACAGUAGAUAUCGCUUGUGUGUUAUAUUUCAUAAUCUAGGAGAUAUCGCUUUACAUGAAUUUGAUUGGUCAGUUGAAAAGGAACUACUGUUUUUUAUUUUCAAAGAACAGUUCAUUUCUUAUUAAAGAUACAUUAUGGGAGAUAAGAUAAAGAGAUGGCAGUUCUCGCUAUAAUAGUUAAAAACUAGAUAGUGUAAAGGUAAUUUGCUGGAAAUUUCAGUCAAAUUGAUCCACUAUGAGCCGAGAUAGAAGCGGGUGAAAUUUUUGCAUAGUUUCGGUCAUCAUUACUAAAAUCAUAAAUAUAAACAGCAUAGUCUCGAUUAUCCACUUUUUCUGAUUUAAUUAUCAAUGGCAAUUAGCGGCAUAUAGGAAUCUAAUCCAGCCAACAUCGAAGGCUAGCCUUGACAUCGAGAGUUUAUUAUGGUCUGGAUUAGUUAAUUAAUGUCUAAUUGAUAAUUUAGAUAACAUUUCAGGCCUAAAGAAAGACUUGUAAUAAGCAGAUUUUGCUCUUGCAUAAUGCAUGUUUAAAGUAACUUUUUUUUUUAUUAAAAAUGAACUAUUAUUAUUCAAUUGACCUUGAUGGAAACACUGGGUCAAUAUAAAACACUUUUCAAUGGUUGAAUUGCUGUCAAAAAAUGAUGUAUCACUACGCCGUAAUGUUCAGUAAAAGUGAAAUCUACAGUAAAGAAUUAUAUUUAUUUGUGCAUGUAAGAAAGGAUUGGGUGAUAAAUAAAAUCUCCUACUCGUCUUUUUUGAUAUAAAAAAAUAUCAACACUCGUUGAUAA